UACGGAGGGGGCUAGCGUUGUUCGGAAUUACUGGGCGUAAAGCGCGCGUAGGCGGACCUGCAAGUCGGGGGUGAAAGCCCGAGGCUCAACCUCGGAACUGCCUUCGAUACUGCGGGGCUCGAGUCCGGGAGAGGUGAGUGGAAUUCCGAGUGUAGAGGUGAAAUUCGUAGAUAUUAGGAAGAACACCAGUGGCGAAGGCGGCUCACUGGCCCUGUACUGACGCUGAGGUGCGAAAGCGUGGGGAGCAAACAGG
Molecule: ribosomal RNA, 253 nt
Filed under: uncultured bacterium
Lineage: Bacteria
Description: partial 16S ribosomal RNA
Rfam family: Bacterial small subunit ribosomal RNA
Source: RNAcentral